RNAcentral lists this non-coding RNA (45 nucleotides) under Schistosoma mattheei. Lineage: Eukaryota; Metazoa; Platyhelminthes; Trematoda; Strigeidida; Schistosomatidae. The record is from RNAcentral.
AUCCAGCUGACAAGUCCCAAACAGGACGGAACGCGCGUCCUGGAU